RNAcentral lists this ribosomal RNA (253 nucleotides) under uncultured bacterium. Its description in RNAcentral is "partial 16S ribosomal RNA". It matches the Rfam family "Bacterial small subunit ribosomal RNA", at positions 524 to 776 of the family's 1533-position model. The record is from RNAcentral.
UACGGAGGGUGCGAGCGUUAUCCGGAAUUACUGGGUUUAAAGGGUGCGUAGGCGGCUUUGUAAGUCAGGAGUGAAAGUUUGCGGCUCAACCGUAAAAUUGCUUUUGAUACUGCGAGGCUAGAAUUAGGAUGAGGUCAGCGGAAUGUGGCAUGUAGCGGUGAAAUGCGUAGAUAUGCCAUAGAACACCAAUUGCGAAGGCAGCUGGCUAGACCUGGAUUGACGCUGAGGCACGAAAGCGUGGGGAGCGAACAGG